UGCGUAGGCGGAUUAAUAAGUCAGUGGUGAAAUCUCUCGGCUCAACCGGGAGACUGCCAUUGAUACUGUUAAUCUUGAGUUCGGUUGAGGUAGGCGGAAUGUGUAAUGUAGCGGUGAAAUGCUUAGAUAUUACACAGAACACCAAUUGCGUAGGCAGCUUACUAGACCGACACUGACGCUGAGGCACGAAAGCGUGGGUAGCGAACAGGAUUAGAUACCCUGGUAGUCC
RNAcentral lists this ribosomal RNA (229 nucleotides) under uncultured bacterium. RNAcentral's name for it is "partial 16S ribosomal RNA". It matches the Rfam family "Bacterial small subunit ribosomal RNA", at positions 568 to 796 of the family's 1533-position model. The record is from RNAcentral.